RNAcentral lists this long non-coding RNA (1607 nucleotides) under Ananas comosus (pineapple). Its description in RNAcentral is "long non-coding RNA (ACOM_LNC032153)". The record is from RNAcentral. Lineage: Eukaryota; Viridiplantae; Streptophyta; Magnoliopsida; Poales; Bromeliaceae.
UAGAAUGUAAUUAAACUUAUAUAGUAAUAGAAUGAAGUUAGAAUACUUUUGGAGUCAGGUUGGGAUACUAUUGAUAGCACGAAGCAUUUGGUGCUAUUAAAUUUUUUGCCGUUAAAUUUAUCUCUUUUAUCAUUUCAUCCGUUCGAUUAUACUAUUCAACCAACCACCCACUCAACCCUAGAGGGCCCACAUCAUUCUAACCGCACAUCUUUUAAUCAAAGGGCACAAAACUUAAUAGCACCAAGUAAUUGGUGCUAUUAAUAGUAUUCCAACCUAGUUCAUACUUUUGAUAGUAAAUUAACAAUAUUUAGUACCUAUUUUUUAAUCCUUGUAUAUCUAGGGUUUAAAGUUAGAAAGUAAACAAUAAAUAUUAUUCAGAAUUGAGCUCCUACGCUUGUAAAAGUGCUAAGUUAUUAAUCUUUAAAGGUUUUUCGCUUUCGGAUGAAGAUUUGUAGCAUGAAUGAUAGUGAUUCUCCCUAUGGUUGAAUGAGUGGUUAGUGGUAUAGCAAGAUCUAAGCCGUGGAAUUGGUCAAAGAGAUAAAUCUAAUUGUAAAAAUGGUUAAUUUGUUAACUAUAGUUAGUUAAUAAGGUGAAUUGUUCUUUUUACUCAUCUUUAAUUAGUAGUUGGGACUUUUAGAGAAAUAUAUUUGUAAUAGCAAAAAUGUCAUUUCAUUUAUAAGAUAAACAGUGUUUUAACAGUAACAAACUAGAGAGACACAUUUGAAAAUAUUAGGACUUUUAAAGAAACAAUAUAUGAAAAUUAAAUUUUAUAGAAAUAUAUUUGUAAUUCAUUAUUUUUGCAGGAACUAGUAUGAAAUUAAUCCUGAUAAAAAACUUACAAACACACGGACUACUUGAUAUUUUUGAAAACACCAUAGUCUAACUCUAUUAUUUAUCAUCAAUACUUAUUUUGAAUAAAAUUUAUAUUAACAUAUCAGCAGCAGUUGAUAAAAGUAGCAUUUGGGGUAAUCCCUGGCAUGCAAACUCUUUAAAAGGAGAGAGAGAGANAUAUAUAUAUAUAUAUAUAUAUAUAUAUAUAUAUAAUAAAGAAAAUAAAAAUAUAGAAAAUAAAAAUAAAUUUGAAAUACAAUGUAAAGAUUUAUAGAAAAUGAUAAUGCAGGGCAGCUUUGACAAAAAGUAAUACAAUAUCCAAUAAAAAAAUAGCAAAGGACUAUAUAAUAGAAUGUAAUUAAACUUAUAUAGUAAUAGAAUGAAGUUAGAAUACUUUUGGAGUCUGGCUGGGAUACUAUCGAUAGCACGAAGUAUUUGGUGCUAUUAAGUUUUUUGCCGUUAAAUUUACAUCUUUUAUCAUUUUUAUCCGUUUGAUUAUACUAUUCAACCAACCACCCACCCAACCCUAGGGGGCCCACAUCAUUCUAACCCCACAUCUUUUAAUCCAAAGGCGGAAAACUUAAUAGCACCAAGUCAUUGGUGCUAUUAAUAGUAUUCCAACCUAGUUCAUACUUUUGAUAGUAAAUUAACAAUAUUUAUUACCUAUUUUUUAAUCCUUGUAUAUCUAGGGUUUAAAGUUAGAAAGUAAACAAUAAAUAUUAUUCAGAAUUGAGCUCCUACGCUUGUAAAAGUGCUAAGUUAUUAAUCUUUAAAGG